GACGAACGCUGGCGGCGCGCCUAACACAUGCAAGUCGAACGAGCGAGAGAGAGCUUGCUUUCUCGAGCGAGUGGCGAACGGGUGAGUAACGCGUGAGGAACCUGCCUCAAAGAGGGGGACAACAGUUGGAAACGACUGCUAAUACCGCAUAAGCCCACGGCUCGGCAUCGAGCGGAGGGAAAAGGAGCAAUCCGCUUUGAGAUGGCCUCGCGUCCGAUUGGCUAGUUGGUGAGGUAACGGCCCACCAAGGCAACGAUCGGUAGCCGGACUGAGAGGUUGAACGGCCACAUUGGGACUGAGACACGGCCCAGACUCCUACGGGAGGCAGCAGUGGGGAAUAUUGCACAAUGGGGGAAACCCUGAUGCAGCGACGCCGCGUGGAGGAAGAAGGUCUUCGGAUUGUAAACUCCUGUUGUUGGGGAAGAUAAUGACGGUACC
RNAcentral lists this ribosomal RNA (438 nucleotides) under uncultured bacterium. Its description in RNAcentral is "bacterial SSU rRNA". It matches the Rfam family "Bacterial small subunit ribosomal RNA", at positions 28 to 479 of the family's 1533-position model. The record is from RNAcentral.